RNAcentral lists this transfer RNA (83 nucleotides) under Bowdeniella nasicola. Its description in RNAcentral is "tRNA-Leu". It matches the Rfam family "tRNA". Rfam says of the family: Transfer RNA (tRNA) molecules are approximately 80 nucleotides in length. Their secondary structure includes four short double-helical elements and three loops (D, anti-codon, and T loops). The record is from RNAcentral. Lineage: Bacteria; Bacillati; Actinomycetota; Actinomycetes; Actinomycetales; Actinomycetaceae.
GCGCGAGUGGCGGAAUUGGCAGACGCGCCAGAUUUAGGUUCUGGUGCCCCAUGGGCGUGCGGGUUCAAGUCCCGCCUCGCGCA